Molecule: ribosomal RNA, 598 nt
Filed under: uncultured bacterium
Lineage: Bacteria
Description: partial 16S ribosomal RNA
Source: RNAcentral
UACCUUGUUACGACUUCACCCCAAUCACCAACCCCACCUUAGACGGCUACCUCCCUCGCGGGUUGGCUCACCGGCUUCGGGUGUUGUCGGCUUUCGUGGUGUGACGGGCGGUGUGUACAAGGCCCGGGAACGUAUUCACCGCGGCGUGGCUGAUCCGCGAUUACUAGCAAUUCCGGCUUCAUGGGGACGAGUUGCAGCCCCCAAUCUGAACUGAGACCGGCUUUUUGAGAUUCGCUCCAGAUCGCUCCUUCGCUCCCCUCUGUACCGGCCAUUGUAGCACGUGUGUGGCCCAGGGCAUAAGGGCCAUGAUGAUUUGACGUCAUCCCCACCUUCCUCCGGUUUGUCACCGGCAGUCUCCUGUGAGUCCCCGUCUUCACGCUGGCAACACAGGACAAGGGUUGCGCUCGUUGCGGGACUUAACCCAACAUCUCACGACACGAGCUGACGACAACCAUGCAGCACCUGUCUCCCUGUCUGACCAAAGGCCAGAAAAUUGUGUUUCCACGACCGUCAGGGGAUGUCAAGCCCUGGUAAGGUUCUGCGCGUUGUGUCGAAUUAAACCACAUGCUCCCACUGCUUGUGCGGGCCCCCGUCAAUU